This 559-nucleotide ribosomal RNA is filed under the name uncultured bacterium. RNAcentral's name for it is "bacterial SSU rRNA". It matches the Rfam family "Bacterial small subunit ribosomal RNA", at positions 120 to 674 of the family's 1533-position model. The record is from RNAcentral.
GGGAAACUGCCUGAUGGAGGGGGAUAACUACUGGAAACGGUAGCUAAUACCGCAUAACGUCGCAAGACCAAAGAGGGGGACCUUCGAGCCUCUUGCCAUCAGAUGUGCCCAGAUGGGAUUAGCUAGUAGGUGGGGUAACGGCUCACCUAGGCGACGAUCCCUAGCUGGUCUGAGAGGAUGACCAGCCACACUGGAACUGAGACACGGUCCAGACUCCUACGGGAGGCAGCAGUGGGGAAUAUUGCACAAUGGGCGCAAGCCUGAUGCAGCCAUGCCGCGUGUAUGAAGAAGGCCUUCGGGUUGUAAAGUACUUUCAGCGGGGAGGAAGGUGUUGAGGUUAAUAACCUCAGCAAUUGACGUUACCCGCAGAAGAAGCACCGGCUAACUCCGUGCCAGCAGCCGCGGUAAUACGGAGGGUGCAAGCGUUAAUCGGAAUUACUGGGCGUAAAGCGCACGCAGGCGGUCUGUCAAGUCGGAUGUGAAAUCCCCGGGCUCAACCUGGGAACUGCAUUCGAAACUGGCAGGCUAGAGUCUUGUAGAGGGGGGUAGAAUUCCAGGU